ACUGAACGCUGGCGGCAGGCCUAACACAUGCAAGUCGAGCGGAUGAAGGGAGCUUGCUCCUGGAUUCAGCGGCGGACGGGUGAGUAAUGCCUAGGAAUCUGCCUGGUAGUGGGGGAUAACGUCCGGAAACGGGCGCUAAUACCGCAUACGUCCUGAGGGAGAAAGUGGGGGAUCUUCGGACCUCACGCUAUCAGAUGAGCCUAGGUCGGAUUAGCUAGUUGGUGGGGUAAAGGCCUACCAAGGCGACGAUCCGUAACUGGUCUGAGAGGAUGAUCAGUCACACUGGAACUGAGACACGGUCCAGACUCCUACGGGAGGCAGCAGUGGGGAAUAUUGGACAAUGUGCGAAAGCCUGAUCCAGCCAUGCCGCGUGUGUGAAGAAGGUCUUCGGAUUGUAAAGCACUUUAAGUUGGGAGGAAGGGCAGUAAGUUAAUACCUUGCUGUUUUGACGUUACCAACAGAAUAAGCACCGGCUAACUUCGUG
RNAcentral lists this ribosomal RNA (484 nucleotides) under uncultured bacterium. RNAcentral's name for it is "partial 16S ribosomal RNA". It matches the Rfam family "Bacterial small subunit ribosomal RNA", at positions 30 to 507 of the family's 1533-position model. The record is from RNAcentral.